Molecule: long non-coding RNA, 440 nt
Organism: Homo sapiens (human)
Lineage: Eukaryota; Metazoa; Chordata; Mammalia; Primates; Hominidae
Source: Ensembl
ACACUCGCCUGGGUCUCCGGUUGGCGGCUCGGACGGAGUUCAUUUGCCGGGCUGAGGUGGCGGCGUUGGCGGAGGGACACACACACGCACACGCACAGCGAGCUUCGGGGCAGGAGAAAGGGGUCCCACAAACUGCAAGGAAAAGAAAAACCCUCAACAGGAAUUACCUUUAUACCUGAUGCCCCCAACAUAAUCUCUCUCCAAGGGAAACGUGUUUUUAUUGCCUUGCGGCUGAAAAUGUAUUCUCGAUUCUCCCCCUUCUCUCUUUUGUUGUGCAUUUUUUGGAUGUGGUAAAACUGGCAGUUUAUCUGAUUAUCUGGUUUUCAGAACUUUGGGCGAUGUCUCUGAGUGUCAUCAGUUGCUCUCUAGGUUUGACAUAGAUAAUUAAGCAACUACAAAGCGUGAUAAAGCUUUUGAGAGGGAGGAAAAUGUAUUUUGGA